GUGCCCUUCAGAGGAUGCACCCACUUUUGGCCAUCACUGUCAGAGGGAUUUUGGUGAAUCCACAGGAGGGUGAUGAAGAUGGAGCAUCGUCCACGUCCAGAUCAUAAGCCAGUUCUGCCGAAAGAAAGGAAAGAAUUUCAAUACAGGCUUACCAACAGCCUCAGCUUUGCACUCUUCACGGCCCAAGCGCUUGUCUGCACUGCUGGGAUGCCCCAGCUUUGAUUUCUUCCUUUCGUUGAAGUAGCUUGUGAAGGUGAUGUGAUGUGAGUGACCUCAGCAGCCAACUGUCCUGUGGCCAAUGGAGCCAGAAAGAUGCCUUGGGGACAUGGAGAUGCAUAGCAACAGGCACAGAGGAAGCGGAUUCUGCAGAAGGAAGGAAGGAAGAGGAAGCAAGAGCUCCUCUUACAGGGGAUGAAACACGCAGUAAGUCACAGGAAGAAAGUGUAAGGACUCAGCUGGUCCAGGAUGUGUGCAGAGCAGGGCCCAGGACCACGGCUGCUGUGAGGCUGGCAUUCCUUAGAGCAGGCAGCAAGGUCAAGGUGGCCAAAGCCAGAGGAUCUGAUUACAGCCUGCAACACUACUUUCCAAAAGGCUAGUGCAGUUUAUAAUGCCACCAGCAAUGAUGAGGGAACCAAUAAAAGAUACUG
Molecule: non-coding RNA, 647 nt
Organism: Delphinapterus leucas (beluga whale)
Lineage: Eukaryota; Metazoa; Chordata; Mammalia; Artiodactyla; Monodontidae
Source: RefSeq, a predicted model, not a curated record